This 107-nucleotide non-coding RNA is filed under the name Firmicutes bacterium CAG:646. Its description in RNAcentral is "TPP riboswitch aptamer (THI element)". It matches the Rfam family "TPP riboswitch aptamer (THI element)". From Rfam's summary of the family: Vitamin B(1) in its active form thiamin pyrophosphate (TPP) is an essential coenzyme that is synthesised by coupling of pyrimidine and thiazole moieties in bacteria. The previously detected thiamin-regulatory element, thi box was extended, resulting in a new, highly conserved RNA secondary structure, the THI element, which is widely distributed in eubacteria and also occurs in some archaea. Analysis of operon structures identified a large number of new candidate thiamin-regulated genes, mostly transporters, in various prokaryotic organisms. The record is from Rfam by way of RNAcentral. Lineage: Bacteria; Bacillati; Bacillota. RNAcentral also lists the same sequence under 1 other name.
CAGUAAAAACAGGGGAGCUUGUAAUGGCAGGCUGAGAGGAAGUCAUCAACUUCGACCCUUUACCUGAUACGGAUAAUGCCGUCGUAGGAAGUCAUAGUUGUUGAUUU